This 680-nucleotide ribosomal RNA is filed under the name uncultured bacterium. RNAcentral's name for it is "bacterial SSU rRNA". It matches the Rfam family "Bacterial small subunit ribosomal RNA", at positions 8 to 682 of the family's 1533-position model. The record is from RNAcentral.
AGGGUUUGAUCAUGGCUCAGAUUGAACGCUGGUGGUAUGCUUAACACAUGCAAGUCGAACGGUAACAUUGGAGCUUGCUCCAGAUGACGAGUGGCGGACGGGUGAGUAACGCGUAGGAAUCUGCCUAGUAGUGGGGGACAACAUGUGGAAACGCAUGCUAAUACCGCAUACGCCCUACGGGGGAAAGCGAGGGAUCUUCGGACCUCGCGCUAUUAGAUGAGCCUGCGUUAGAUUAGCUAGUUGGUGGGGUAAUGGCCUACCAAGGCGACGAUCUAUAGCUGGUCUGAGAGGACGAUCAGCCACACUGGGACUGAGACACGGCCCAGACUCCUACGGGAGGCAGCAGUGGGGAAUAUUGGACAAUGGGCGAAAGCCUGAUCCAGCAAUACCACGUGUGUGAAGAAGGCCUGAGGGUUGUAAAGCACUUUCAAUUGGGAGGAAAACAGCUGGGUUAAUAGCCCUGCUCUUGACAUUACCUUUAGAAGAAGCACCGGCUAACUCCGUGCCAGCAGCCGCGGUAAUACGGAGGGUGCGAGCGUUAAUCGGAAUUACUGGGCGUAAAGCGUACGUAGGCGGUUAUUUAAGUCAGAUGUGAAAGCCCCGGGCUCAACCUGGGAACUGCAUUUGAUACUGGAUAACUAGAGUUUGAUAGAGGAGAGUAGAAUUUCUGGUGUAGCGGU